AGCUCCAGAAGCGUAUAUUAAAGUUGUUGCAGUUAAAAAGCUCGUAGUUGGAUUUCUGGUUUGGUGCGCUUGGCCCGCCAGGGUUACCUGUGUGAGUGCCGAUGCGCGCCUUCCAUCCUUCUAGAGACCGUAUCUACCCUUCAUUGGGCUGGAUUCGCUAUCUAGGACUUUUACUUUGAAAAAAUUAGAGUGUUCAAAGCAGGCUCGCGCUAUGAAUACAUUAGCAUGGAAUAAUAACUUAGGAUUUCGUUUCUAUUUUGUUGGCUUCUAGGGACGAAGUAAUGAUUGAUAGGGAUAGUUGGGGGUGCUAGUAUUGCCUAGGCCAGAGGUGAAAUUCUUGGAUUCUGGCAAGACUAACUCAUGCGAAAGCAUUCACCAAGGAUGUCUUCUUCA
Molecule: ribosomal RNA, 393 nt
Filed under: Esquamula sp.
Lineage: Eukaryota; Cercozoa; Imbricatea; Thaumatomonadida
Description: partial small subunit ribosomal RNA
Rfam family: Eukaryotic small subunit ribosomal RNA
Source: RNAcentral